AAUCAACGCUGGCGGCGUGCCUCAGGCAUGCAAGUCGAACGCGAAAGUCCCCUUCGGGGGGCAAGUAGAGUGGCGCACGGGUGAGUAACACGUAGGUAAUCUACCUUUGGAUGGGGAAUAACAAUCGGAAACGAUUGCUAAUACCGCAUAAUGCAGCGGCACCUAAUGGUGACAGUUGUUAAAGCGGGGGAUCGAAAGACCUCGCGUCUGAAGAGGAGCCUGCGGCGGAUUAGCUAGUUGGUAAGGUAAUGGCUUACCAAGGCUACGAUCCGUAACCGGCCUGAGAGGGCGGUCGGUCACACUGACACUGACAUACGGGUCAGACUCCUACGGGAGGCAGCAGUCGGGAAUUUUGGGCAAUGGGCGAAAGCCUGACCCAGCAACGCCGCGUGAAGGAUGAAAUCCCUCGGGAUGUAAACUUCGCAAGAACGGGAAGAA
RNAcentral lists this ribosomal RNA (438 nucleotides) under uncultured bacterium. Its description in RNAcentral is "bacterial SSU rRNA". It matches the Rfam family "Bacterial small subunit ribosomal RNA", at positions 32 to 449 of the family's 1533-position model. The record is from RNAcentral.